AUUGAACGCUGGCGGCAUGCCUUACACAUGCAAGUCGAACGGCAGCGGGGGAGAAGCUUGCUUUUCCUGCCGGCGAGUGGCGAACGGGUGAGUAAUACAUCGGAACGUGCCCUGUAGUGGGGGAUAACUAGUCGAAAGAUUAGUUAAUACCGCAUACGACCUGCGGGUGAAAGUGGGGGACCGAAAGGCCUCAUGCCAUAGGAGCGGCCGAUGUCUGAUUAGCUAGUUGGUGGGGUAAAGGCCUACCAAGGCGACGAUCAGUAGCUGGUCUGGGAGGACGAUCAGCCACACUGGGACUGAGACACGGCCCAGACUCCUACGGGAGGCAGCAGUGGGGAAUUUUGGACAAUGGGCGAAAGCCUGAUCCAGCAAUGCCGCGUGUGUGAAGAAGGCCUUCGGGUUGUAAAGCACUUUUGUCCGGAAAGAAAUGGCUCUGGUUAAUACCUGGGGUCGAUGACGGUACCGGAAGAAUAAGGACCGGCUAACUACGUGCCAGCCGCCGCAGUAA
RNAcentral lists this ribosomal RNA (508 nucleotides) under uncultured bacterium. Its description in RNAcentral is "partial 16S ribosomal RNA". It matches the Rfam family "Bacterial small subunit ribosomal RNA", at positions 30 to 523 of the family's 1533-position model. The record is from RNAcentral.